RNA transcript from Osmerus eperlanus (European smelt), 4844 nucleotides. It is a transcript of the gene named synaptotagmin binding, cytoplasmic RNA interacting protein, with no coding region annotated. Lineage: Eukaryota; Metazoa; Chordata; Actinopteri; Osmeriformes; Osmeridae. The record is from RefSeq and is a predicted model, not a curated record. The transcript has 12 exons.
AUACGUUUGAGGUCCAAUACCCUUUUCAGUAAGAUGUCGGGGCUCUGCCCUUACAUAACCUGUCAGGAAAAAAAACGAAAAUGGAUAAGCCCGUGUAUAGCUGUUGCAGAAACCCCAUAGAUGCAGGAGGGCUUGCGGCGUUAACGUAGACGCCAUUUUAGUUUUACGGGGGAGGGAAAGAACAGAAUCGAACGAACGCCGGGGAAUUGUAGCUUGCUAGAUAUUUUUCUUUUUUUAUAUCCACAAUCCUGAAACGAGACACAAUCAGCACCGUGCACCUUACUGAAACGACGCAAGAUGUCUGAAGACAUGGCAUCUGAUCAUGUUAAUGGGAAUGGUACAGAAGAACCGAUGGAUACGACUACAGCAGUCACCCGCUCUGAACACUUCCAGACUUUAAUAGAUGCAGGUUUACCACAACAAGUUGCUGAAAAACUAGAUGACAUUUACAUAGAAGGACUGGUAGCGCACAGUGACCUAGAUGAAAGAGCAAUUGAAGCGUUGAAAGAAUUUAAUGAAGAAGGAGCCCUGCAAGUCCUGCUGCAGUUUAGGGAAAGUGAUCUGUCACAUGUUCAGAACAAAAGUGCCUUUCUCUGUGGAGUUAUGAAGACUUACAGACAGAGGGAAAAGCAAGGGACAAAAGUCUCAGACGCCACAAAAGGACCAGAUGAAGCUAAAAUCAAAGCUCUGCUUGAUAGAACCAGCUACACACUUGACGUAACAACAGGUCAGAGGAAAUACGGUGACCCACCACCAGAGUCGGUGUAUUCAGGGGCGCAGCCCACUGUUGGAACAGAGAUAUUUGUAGGGAAGAUUCCACGAGACCUGUUUGAGGACGAGCUGGUCCCACUCUUUGAGAAGGCAGGGCCUAUCUGGGAUCUGAGGCUGAUGAUGGACCCCCUCAGCGGCCUCAACAGAGGCUACGCUUUCGUCACUUUCUGCACUAAAGAGGCUGCACAGGAGGCGGUGAAACUUUGUAAUAAUAACGAAAUUCGACCUGGAAAGCACAUUGGAGUGUGUAUUUCAGUAGCCAAUAACAGGCUAUUUGUCGGCUCCAUCCCGAAAAGUAAGACGAAAGAGCAGAUUGUGGAGGAAUUUGCUAAAGUUACAGAGGGACUUAAUGAUGUCAUACUGUACCAUCAACCCGAUGACAAAAAGAAGAACCGAGGUUUUUGCUUUCUGGAAUACGAAGACCAUAAAACUGCUGCCCAGGCCCGCCGUAGGCUCAUGAGCGGCAAAGUGAAGGUGUGGGGGAAUGUGGUCACUGUGGAAUGGGCUGACCCCAUAGAGGACCCAGACCCAGACGUCAUGGCCAAGGUCAAAGUUUUGUUUGUCCGCAACCUCGCGAACAGUGUUACUGAAGAAAUACUUGAACAAACCUUCAGCCAGUUUGGGAAGCUGGAGCGAGUGAAGAAACUUAAAGAUUAUGCCUUUAUUCACUUUGAGGAAAGGGAUGGUGCAGUCAAGGCAUUAGAUGAAAUGAAUGGCAAAGAUCUGGAGGGAGAACACAUAGAAAUUGUGUUUGCCAAGCCCCCUGAUCAGAAGAGGAAAGAACGCAAAGCCCAGAGACAAGCAGCCAAAGCACCAACAUAUGAUGAUUACUAUUACUAUGGUCCUCCUCACAUGCCCCCUCCCUCCAGGGGGCGUGGUAGAGGUGGUGGGAGGGGCGGGUACUCUUACCCCCCCGACUACUACGGCUAUGAGGAUUACCAUGAUUACUAUGGGUAUGAUUAUCACAACUACCGCGGUGGAUACGAGGACCCCUACUACAGCUACGACGACUUUCAGGCCCCCAGCAGAGGGAGAGGGGGCAGAGGGUCCCGGGGGGGCUCCCCAGGCCGGGGCCAGGGUGCGGGCGCUCCCCGUGGCAGGGCCAGCUUUUCCCAGCGAGGAGGCGGAGUGGGUCCAGGAGCAGGCAGAGGCGUGCGAGGGGCCAGAGGAGGCGUGCAGCCCAGAGGCCGCGGGGUACGUGGUGCGAGGGGUGGCCGCGGUGGAAAUGUAGGAGGAAAGCGCAAAGCUGAUGGGUACAACCAGCCAGAUACCAAACGACGUCAGACCAAUAAUCAGAACUGGGGCUCUCAACCCAUUGCUCAGCAACCGCUCCAAGGUGGUGAUCAUACUGGUAACUAUGGUUACAAAUCUGACAACCAGGAGUUUUAUCAGGAUUCUUUUGGGCAACAGUGGAAGUAGAACAGUAAGGCUUUCAUAACAAAUCCUUUUUUAAAGACUCGAUCUGAUUGGCCCCAAAAUCCAUACCAUUGCUACUUUUUCAAAUUGGUGACAUCUGGCAAGUUGCUCUUGUAUAUAUUUUAAUAAUCCGCUUGGACUUGAACAGUAGUCACACUCCCAACUGCUUCUGGCGAACUGGUUUAAUGUUUUCAAGUUGAUUGAUGCGAUUCCCAUAAUCAGUUUGAAAUUUUAGAUUUGCAAUCAUGUGCUCCACGUGUCUAUUUGGCUAUAGUUUUAUGUAUGUUCUUAUGGUCUCCAUGUCUUAAGUAGCUAACAGCAAAACAAAGCUUAUGUCUCCUAAACAUGUAUUUAAAACAAAAUGAAACUACAAUUUGUAUGUCACAAGGAUUAUGCUAGGUUAUGGCGUUGUUUUUGGAAGAAGAAAAAGGAUCAUAGUCCUAUUUUUGGCUAAACAUUUUGGCUUGUAUUUUUUGCUGUUUGUCUGCUUUAAUAAACAUACACACACACGUGUACAAAACCUCAAAUUGUGUUGCCAAUUCCUGUUUCGGCAAAUUCUCUCUUCAAAUUCCCUUCAAAUUUAAGGCUCUUUGUGGAAGAAAUGGACCAAAGGUUUGCCUGUGGUAGCCACAUGGUGCAAUGUCACUUUGCAUGCCAUUAAAUUCUAAACCACCUGAGUUUUAACAGGCAUCUUUCCACAAAUUAAGUGUUGUGUAUGUGUAGUGACAUACUCUAUUGUUCUGGUUAUUUCUAAAUUAUAUUAUGUCCAAAUACUUGCAUAUUGUUUAUAUAAAUAUAUACUCGGGGAAAACGUGGUUAUGGUGACUGUCAAGACAGAUUCCAACCCAUCUAUAACCAAACAACUUGUUGUGGCUACCGAGAAAGCACAAUUUGAUAAGUAAAGCUAUUGCCCCAGAAAGAUCUUCCUUUGAGGCCUCAAUACUCAUCUUGCACAUGUAUUUCAAAUUCACAAGAUUAAUCAAUUAUGGGAAAUGUUUGGCAUUUGUGUUAACCGCUUGUUUUGCUUGUAGACCAGCCAUUCCCCUGCCAUAACCCCUUAUUUGUGUUCACCCAUACAUCUUCAUUGUUGUACCUUGUACCUUUUUAAAGACAUGCAGGGAAAAGGGGUCGAAGAUGGUCCUGAUCUGUCCCUAUGAAGACUGGCCUGCUAUAUGGGGUUUCACUGCAAGCUGCCAAUGGAUGCGAUGGUAAGGUCAACCCAAUGAUCUAACUGUAUCACCAGCCUUACAAAAGCAUAUUUCCCAAACUGCCACAUAAAGAUAAUCAAGUAAGAAAAAUAAAGUUGGUUGGUUGAACAUAUGUUUUUAUAAGCUUGCCACCUCCCCAAAGAUAACGCCAUUUUGAGACAAUGGAAUAAUGUGAAAAAGGAUAAAGGUGAACCCACCCUGAAAGUAAAUGUAAAUGUAUUUUGCACUUUGUCUAAGUUUGGAGUGGCUCCAAGGAGCUUGAUGCUAAUGUAUGUUUUUGUUCUAACUGCAGUGUUAGCAUUGUGGUCAUGACUUGGUUUAAACAUUGUUUAUGACUGGUUUAACCACCUGUCAUAGAGGGUCAGGCAUUCCUGGAAGCGGUUGGUUAUCUACCUCAGUACAGAGGAUUCAACUGCUCUGUCUGUAUUGUACAUAAAUAAGGAAACUGAUGAUAGCAGGGCUUUCAAACAAAUAUGCACAAGAGAAACGGCAGCCUUCUCAAAGCUUAUUUUAGUUGUGCCUGCCGUUUGUCUGGCACAGCAACAGGCAAACUGGGCAUGUUAACUUCUCUCAAAAUGAGCACGAACAAGCCUUUUUGUACAUUUACAUUUAGCAGACGCUCUUAUCCAGAGCGACUUACAGUAAGUACAGGGACAUUCCCCCCGAGGCAAGUAGGGUGAAGUGCCUUGCUCAUUUUGACUCGGCCGGGAAUCGAACUGGCAAACUUCAGAUUACUAGCCCGACUCACUCACCGCUCAGCCACCUGACUCCAUUUAAAUCAGGACUUUGUAGUCCUGAUUUAAAUGAGUUAUCUACAUGUCUUUAGAUUAUGUAGUGGUUGAAUGAUAAGUUUAGGAACAUGUUACUUUUGUAAAUGCUUGAACACCAGGAAACACCAGUUUUUUUUUUUUUUACAUUUCAUUUAGAAGCUUUGCAGUGUGAACACUUUCCUUAACGGGGGGAUGAGGUGUAAACUUUGUAUGUGGUAGAAUCCCCCUUGGACUGAUUGCAUACACAAAAAAACUUUGAAAGCCAUCUGCCAAUUGUGUACAACUGAAAGAACAUUUGCCUAAUCAUGCACAACAUGAAGGAUCAAUGACAUCCAAGCUGCCUUUUUGUCACAUUUGACAUAUGUGACAAGUGUCUUGAAUCUGCAUCAUGUUGAGUAUGUGAUUACUAGCUGGAGAUGACUGGGAUUGUCCAGUACAAAAGGGAUUCUUGUAUCUUCCUCUGGAUUGUGGAAGUACAGUAGACUGAAAAAGUCAAUCAGGUUUUGUACACAGCAGACUCCCUCUAAGUCUAUAUCACCACAGACUACUUUGAAAAGAUGUUACCAGUUAUGAAAAACUGUUGGUAUGCUAACAAGUGUUUUUGCAUACUUGCAAAUUGUUUUAUACUGUAUAGUGAGGCGAGUGUAACUUAUUUUUUUAAUAAAGUUCUUGACUUUCA